This 1209-nucleotide ribosomal RNA is filed under the name Escherichia coli. Its description in RNAcentral is "partial 23S ribosomal RNA". It matches the Rfam family "Bacterial large subunit ribosomal RNA", at positions 1 to 1251 of the family's 2925-position model. Lineage: Bacteria; Pseudomonadati; Pseudomonadota; Gammaproteobacteria; Enterobacterales; Enterobacteriaceae. The record is from RNAcentral. RNAcentral also lists the same sequence under 1 other name.
GUUAAGCGACUAAGCGUACACGGUGGAUGCCCUGGCAGUCAGAGGCGAUGAAGGACGUGCUAAUCUGCGAUAAGCGUCGGUAAGGUGAUAUGAACCGUUAUAACCGGCGAUUUCCGAAUGGGGAAACCCAGUGUGUUUCGACACACUAUCAUUAACUGAAUCCAUAGGUUAAUGAGGCGAACCGGGGGAACUGAAACAUCUAAGUACCCCGAGGAAAAGAAAUCAACCGAGAUUCCCCCAGUAGCGGCGAGCGAACGGGGAGCAGCCCAGAGCCUGAAUCAGUGUGUGUGUUAGUGGAAGCGUCUGGAAAGGCGCGCGAUACAGGGUGACAGCCCCGUACACAAAAAUGCACAUGCUGUGAGCUCGAUGAGUAGGGCGGGACACGUGGUAUCCUGUCUGAAUAUGGGGGGACCAUCCUCCAAGGCUAAAUACUCCUGACUGACCGAUAGUGAACCAGUACCGUGAGGGAAAGGCGAAAAGAACCCCGGCGAGGGGAGUGAAAAAGAACCUGAAACCGUGUACGUACAAGCAGUGGGAGCACGCUUAGGCGUGUGACUGCGUACCUUUUGUAUAAUGGGUCAGCGACUUAUAUUCUGUAGCAAGGUUAACCGAAUAGGGGAGCCGAAGGGAAACCGAGUCUUAACUGGGCGUUAAGUUGCAGGGUAUAGACCCGAAACCCGGUGAUCUAGCCAUGGGCAGGUUGAAGGUUGGGUAACACUAACUGGAGGACCGAACCGACUAAUGUUGAAAAAUUAGCGGAUGACUUGUGGCUGGGGGUGAAAGGCCAAUCAAACCGGGAGAUAGCUGGUUCUCCCCGAAAGCUAUUUAGGUAGCGCCUCGUGAAUUCAUCUCCGGGGGUAGAGCACUGUUUCGGCAAGGGGGUCAUCCCGACUUACCAACCCGAUGCAAACUGCGAAUACCGGAGAAUGUUAUCACGGGAGACACACGGCGGGUGCUAACGUCCGUCGUGAAGAGGGAAACAACCCAGACCGCCAGCUAAGGUCCCAAAGUCAUGGUUAAGUGGGAAACGAUGUGGGAAGGCCCAGACAGCCAGGAUGUUGGCUUAGAAGCAGCCAUCAUUUAAAGAAAGCGUAAUAGCUCACUGGUCGAGUCGGCCUGCGCGGAAGAUGUAACGGGGCUAAACCAUGCACCGAAGCUGCGGCAGCGACGCUGAUGCGUUGUUGGGUAGGGGAGCGUUCUGUAAGCCUG